UCGUGUCGUGAGAUGUUGGGUUAAGUCCCGCAACGAGCGCAACCCUCACCUCUUGUUGCCAUCAGGUCAUGCUGGGCACUCUAGAGGAACUGCCCCGGUCAACGGGGAGGAAGGCGGGGAUGACGUCAAGUCAUCAUGCCCCUUACGUCCUGGGCUACACACGUGCUACAAUGGCCGGUACGAAGGGAUGCCACACCGCGAAGUAGAGCUAAACCCAAAAAGCCGGUCUAAGUUCAGAUUGGAGUCUGCAACUCGACUCCAUGAAGGAGGAAUCGCUAGUAAUCGC
RNAcentral lists this ribosomal RNA (286 nucleotides) under uncultured Methylomirabilota bacterium. RNAcentral's name for it is "uncultured candidate division NC10 bacterium partial 16S ribosomal RNA". It matches the Rfam family "Bacterial small subunit ribosomal RNA", at positions 1060 to 1345 of the family's 1533-position model. Lineage: Bacteria; Methylomirabilota (SeqCode). The record is from RNAcentral.